Molecule: ribosomal RNA, 460 nt
Filed under: uncultured bacterium
Lineage: Bacteria
Description: partial 16S ribosomal RNA
Rfam family: Bacterial small subunit ribosomal RNA
Source: RNAcentral
CCUACGGGAGGCAGCAGUGAGGAAUAUUGGUCAAUGGACGAGAGUCUGAACCAGCCAAGCCGCGUGAAGGAUGACUGCCCUAUGGGUUGUAAACUUCUUUUAUAUGGGAAUAAAAUGUUCCACGUGUGGGAUUUUGUAUGUACCAUAUGAAUAAGGAUCGGCUAACUCCGUGCCAGCAGCCGCGGUAAUACGGAGGAUUCGAGCGUUAUCCGGAUUUAUUGGGUUUAAAGGGAGCGUAGGUGGAUUGUUAAGUCAGUGGUGAAAGUUUGCGGCUCAACCGUAAAACUGCAGUUGAAACUGGCAGUCUUGAGUGCGGUAGAGGUAGGCGGAAUGAGUGGUGUAGCGGUGAAAUGCUUAGAUAUCACGAAGAACUCCGAUUGCGAAGGCAGUUCACUGGACUGAAACUGACGCUGAGGCUCGAAAGUGUGGGUAUCAAACAGGAUUAGAUACCCGUGUAGUC